This 171-nucleotide ribosomal RNA is filed under the name uncultured archaeon. RNAcentral's name for it is "partial 16S ribosomal RNA". It matches the Rfam family "Archaeal small subunit ribosomal RNA", at positions 593 to 762 of the family's 1478-position model. The record is from RNAcentral.
UAGGAGGCGGGAGAGGCAAGCGGUACUCACGUGGGUAGGGGUAAAAUCCUUUGAUCCAUUGAAGACCACCAGUGGCGAAGGCGGCUUGCCAGAACGCGCUCGACGGUGAGGGAUGAAAGCUGGGGGAGCAAACCGGAUUAGAUACCCGGGUAGUCCCAGCUGUAAACGAUG